GAUGAGUUCUCCCUGACUCCUUGAGAGUCCUGAAGGAACGUUGAAGACGACGACGUUGAUAGGCCGGGUGUGUAAGCGCAGGCAUGCGUUGAGCUAACCGGUACUAAUGAACCGUGAGGCUUAACCUU
Molecule: ribosomal RNA, 128 nt
Filed under: Escherichia coli
Lineage: Bacteria; Pseudomonadati; Pseudomonadota; Gammaproteobacteria; Enterobacterales; Enterobacteriaceae
Description: partial ribosomal RNA
Rfam family: Bacterial large subunit ribosomal RNA
Source: RNAcentral